RNAcentral lists this ribosomal RNA (330 nucleotides) under uncultured bacterium. RNAcentral describes it as "bacterial SSU rRNA". It matches the Rfam family "Bacterial small subunit ribosomal RNA", at positions 28 to 334 of the family's 1533-position model. The record is from RNAcentral.
GACGAACGCUGUCGGCGGCGCCUAACACAUGCAAGUCGAACGAAGCUGCGAUCGGAACGAAAGUUCUUCGGAAAGAGAUUGGUACAGCUUAGUGGCGGACGGGUGAGUAACGCGUGAGAAACCUGCCUUUCAGUGGGGGACAACAGUUGGAAACGACUGCUAAUACCGCAUAAUGUUAUUGGGGGCAUCCCUGAAUAACCAAAGCUUAAUGUGCUGAAAGAUGGUCUCGCGUCUGAUUAGCUGGUUGGUGAGGUAACGGCUCACCAAGGCGACGAUCAGUAGCCGGUCUGAGAGGAUGAACGGCCACAUUGGGACUGAGAUACGGCCCAG